RNAcentral lists this ribosomal RNA (273 nucleotides) under uncultured bacterium. RNAcentral's name for it is "partial 16S ribosomal RNA". It matches the Rfam family "Bacterial small subunit ribosomal RNA", at positions 30 to 301 of the family's 1533-position model. The record is from RNAcentral.
AUUGAACGCUGGCGGCAUGCCUUACACAUGCAAGUCGAACGGCAGCACGGGAGCUUGCUCCUGGUGGCGAGUGGCGAACGGGUGAGUAAUACAUCGGAACGUACCCUGAAGUGGGGGAUAACGUAGCGAAAGUUACGCUAAUACCGCAUAUUCUGUGAGCAGGAAAGAGGGGGAUCGCAAGACCUCUUGCUUUAGGAGCGGCCGAUGUCGGAUUAGCUAGUUGGUGAGGUAAAGGCUCACCAAGGCGACGAUCCGUAGCGGGUCUGAGAGGAU